GACGAACGCUGGCGGCGUGCUUAACACAUGCAAGUCGAGCGGUAAGGCCCUUUCGGGGGUACGACGAGCGGCGAACGGGUGAGUAACACGUGGGUGACCUGCCCUCAGCUCUGGGAUAAGCCCGGGAAACUGGGUCUAAUACCGGAUAUGACUCCAUGACGCAUGUUGUGGGGUGGAAAGCCUUGUGCGGCUGAGGAUGGGCCCGCGGCCUAUCAGCUUGUUGGUGGGGUGAUGGCCUACCAAGGCGACGACGGGUAGCCGGCCUGAGAGGGCGACCGGCCACACUGGGGACUGAGACACGGCCCAGACUCCUACGGGAGGCAGCAGUGGGGAAUCUUGCGCAAUGGGCGAAAGCCUGACGCGGCGACGCCGCGUGAGGGAUGACGGCCUCGG
This 393-nucleotide ribosomal RNA is filed under the name uncultured bacterium. Its description in RNAcentral is "bacterial SSU rRNA". It matches the Rfam family "Bacterial small subunit ribosomal RNA", at positions 28 to 420 of the family's 1533-position model. The record is from RNAcentral.